UACGUAGGUCCCGAGCGUUGUCCGGAUUUAUUGGGCGUAAAGCGAGCGCAGGUGGUUUAUUAAGUCUGGUGUAAAAGGCAGUGGCUCAACCAUUGUAUGCAUUGGAAACUGGUGGACUUGAGUGCAGGAGAGGAGAGUGGAAUUCCAUGUGUAGCGGUGAAAUGCGUAGAUAUAUGGAGGAACACCGGUGGCGAAAGCGGCUCUCUGGCCUGUAACUGACACUGAGGCACGAAAGUGUGGGGAGCAAACAGG
Molecule: ribosomal RNA, 252 nt
Filed under: uncultured bacterium
Lineage: Bacteria
Description: partial 16S ribosomal RNA
Rfam family: Bacterial small subunit ribosomal RNA
Source: RNAcentral